CAGGCGUGGCUGUUUUUCUUACCCACUGUCACUCAUGCUGUAAGUAUCUGCUGCCAAGUGGAAAAUAAAAACACAAUGAUACAAGAACUUCACUCUGCAAAAAAAACAACAGUGUUUAGACUUCUCAGAGAGCCAACUAGUGUCGCAAUUGAUGCUGAAAGGCAUAUGGAUGCAUCGAUUUUGACUUUUUUUAUCCAAAAUUUCACAUCAAUGCAGCUAGAUUGGCUCUGUUGAUCAGGCAGUCAGCGUUUCAACCUGUCAAUCAAAGUGCCCACGCCCCCAAAAUAUUAGAGUGGCUUUUCUGAUAUUAUUGUGUUGAUAUUUUUGCACAAGGUUGCAGGUUCUUUCCACACCCGCAAGAUAGCAUUCCAAAAAAUGGCCACGUCUGAUGCUUGCAUGCCACCAGAAUAAUUUAGCCUGCCUUCAUAAGUGGAAUGUUUCAAUACCACUGCCAUCAUUGUUCUUAAUUGACACUAUAAAUAGAAUACAACAGUGUGUUCUUACUGUGUUGCUGUUUUGGCAUGAAGGACUGUUGCAUUUUUGUCGUCAAUUAAGACAAAUAUAGACGGCGAGCCUGCGAUGAAGACACUAAGAUACCGUGUGUAUACUCAUGUUGUUUCCUUCUGUCUAGAUCUUUGCUUGUGUUGUACUUACUCUCAAAUGUGCAUCUCUUUUUGGACAAAAUGGCAUUGACACACUGCAUGUUAUUAAAAAAUUGGAUUUUCUGAACACUUGAGGAGUUCAUUUUGUGUUUUUGUUUAAGCAAAUAAUGCUUUUCUCUCUCUCUUUUCCUUGUUUAUCAGACUUUUUUCCUUUGUUGUUUUUCAACCCAUCUUAACAGCAAGUGAAACAAUACCCAGCAGCCGUCACAAGAUAAGUUACUGACGCUCAGGAAGGUUUCCCUUCCUCUUAUUUUUUCUGACUUUUCCUCCGCAGGUCACUUCUAUGAAAAAAAAAAAAAAAACUCUGUGACUCUCCACCAUCUGUUCUGCACACACACCAGUAUACACAAACAAUGACCAUCACACCAUACUCCCACACAGGAUAUGCAAAUGAGUCUUGAGCUUCACAGCAUUAAGCAGCUAACUUCAUAAAGUCACGCACUCUCCCCCGAACUGAGAGUGAUAGAUCGCAUAUUUUCUGCCGCAUUUGUCAUUAAUGAAGUUAACUUUCUGAACUAAUCAACCCCGGCAGCCAUAAAUACUAACUCGCUCAGGAUAAGCCUGCAAACAACUCCAUCAUACACUUCCUGUUUUCCAGCACGUAGUCGGUGACCUCAGGAGGAGGAGCGCAGGAUGUGCUCCGAGUGGAAGAUACAGAUAGAGGGUUUCCUAGAUAGUAUUAAUUAGGACGCGUGUUUAACUUUGGCAGGAGGGGAUGGGAUGCAUCUGCUGUGCAACUGCAGGAAUGUUGUUUGUUCCAGAAAUCAUUGGAUGUAAAUUCAGAUCCCUGUCUCCAAUAAUAGUCUCAUCUACCGCUGCUUUUCAACUCCCUAUGCACCCUAUGAUACUUUUUCUGCUCCUCUUUGCAGCUGUACUUCUGAUCACAUUGGUUGCAUUCAGCAGUGAAGUGUGAGUAAACAACGUGUUGGUGUGAGAACUGUCGCGUCAGUGAUUUUCUCAGCCUGGUAUUUUUAGCCACCUUAUGAAACAAAGCGUCUUUCAAAUCACAGUUUUUUUUUUUUUCAGCCUGAUGUUGACCCUUCCUUUUUGCCAUCCUAAGAAAGACACACAUACUAAAUAGUAUCCUCAUCCUCCCAUUUAUACCACGAGGUAUAAAAGAGAGCAUUGUAAAAUUUCACAACACUGUUUUCUGUAGACUCAUGGUGAACGAGAAGUGACACAUAUGCCAGACAGCAUUUACUCAAUCAAUUUGAAUUGCUCAAUCUGUCUGCCACCACAAAACCAUCUGACCAAAAAGGCAGGCCAGAGAUUUAUUUAGACUCUUGGUUUGUUUGUGUGCUUGUUUGUUUGGGUUUGUAAAUGACCCAAACACGAUCUCCUGUAGGUUCGCCCAAAUAUCUUCCUCUUUUUCCUCCCUAGACAGACAGGCCUCAGACUCCAGCCCGGGCUCCAGAUAAGAUUUUGUCUGCAGGAACCACAUUUUGAGAGGAUGUUUGUGAUUUGAUCUUCAGCAAGUGGAAUAAUGUUGUGCUUUCAUUAAGUAGUUGACUUCCUUUGUAUCAUGCGAGGUUCUGAAAGUGUAAAAACUCGUGUAAGGUUGUGCCACUUCUCACUCUGUUCGUCUGAGAUAGUGUAGUCUAUUCCUCAUUGUUUGAAACUCCGUCAAGUGUCUCCACUUUGGAAUCCGCUGGUCUGGAGUGUGUAUAUGUGCCAAAGGUCAAACUUUCAGCUCACUCAUUCACUAGUGCUUCAACUUAAAACACAUUAGUUAGUUAUUAAUAGUUAGUUAACCAUUGCAAGUGCCGGUUAAUGGCUAUACUGAAUUGCUGAUGAGUAAAUGUAGAUCAAAGGAUGAGAUUAUACAGUUUUAAGUAAGUGUGCUUGGUUCAUUAUUUAGAUGCUACGUCUGCAUAUUUCACGCUUCAGGAAUUGCUGCAAACAUGUGAAUUAAAUGCAUGAACAUGUGAUCGAUGGUCUGUGGGAAAAUACAGUGAUCUCAAUUUGCAGGGGUACAGGGGUGUGUCCAAGCUUUUUUUCAAUGUGGUGACCCAGGGGAAGGGUGAUAGGAAUAGGGGGCACUGACUUAUGCACAUGCACACGUCUUAAAGAGCAUAAAAAGUGCAAGAAAACUCCUGUAUGCUGUCUACCUGUCUAAAUUGUACUUGUUGAUUGCAUUUCUGGCAGGCGUGGCCGUUUUUCUUUCCCGCUGUCACUCAUGCUGUAUCUGCUGCCAAGUGGAAAAUAAAAACACAAUGAUACAAGAACUUCACUCUGUAAAAAAAACAACAGUGUUUAGACUUCUCAGAGAGCCAUCUAGUGUUGCAAAUGAUGCUGAAAGGCAUAUGGAUGCAUCGAUUUUGACUUUUUUUGUCAAAAAUUUCACAUCAAUGCAGCUAGAUUGGCUCUGUUGAUCAGGCAGUCAGCGUUUCAACCUGUCAAUCAAAGUGGCCACGCCCCCAAAAUAUUAGGGUGGUUUUUCUGAUAUUAUUGUGUUGAUAUUUUUGCACAAGGUUGCAGGUUCUUUCCACACCUGCAAGAUAGCAUUCCAAAAAUUGGCCACGUCUGAUGCUUGCAUGCCACCAGAAUAAUUUAGCCUGUCUUAUUCAGAGGAAUGCUACGAUACCACUGCCAUUAUUGUUCUUAAUUGACACUAUAAAUAGAAUACAAAAGUGCGAUCUUUAGUGCGAUUAGACGGUGAGCCUGCGAUGAAGACACUAAGAUACCGUGCAUACUCAUUUUGUUUCCUUCUGUCUAGAUCUUUGCUUGUGUUGUACUUACACUCAAAUGUGCAUUUCUUUUUGGACAAAAUGGCAUUGACACACUGCAUGUUAUUAAAAAAUUAGGUUUUCUGAACACUUGAGGAGUUCAUUUUUGUGUUUCUGUUUAAGCAAAUAAUGCUUUUCUCUCUCUCUUUUCCUUGUUUAUCAGACUUUUUUCCUUUGUUGUUUUUCAACCCAUCUUAACAGCAAGUGAAACAAUACCCAGCAGCCGUCACAAGAUAAGUUACUGACGCUCAGCAAUUCAGUAUUGUCAGUAAACAUGCAGCAGUUAGUAUGCAAGUAUUGGACUGAUUCCUCUUUAUUGUAUCCGAAUAAUAGCAGCAAAAUUCUUUUUUCCAUAAUUUCAAUAUGUGCGAUAUACUUAAAUGGUUAAAACAGCUCAUUGCAACCUGAUAAACCAAGCUAUGUUAGUUGAUUUUGACUUCAGUCCUGCCUCUGACCACGUCAAAUAGCCAGAUUUAGAUUUUUUUAGGCGGCCAAUCAGAUUUAAGGGAGAGACCAAGCCACCUCUGGCCACCUUUCUAGACAUACCCCUGUCAAUUUUGAACCUUAAC
RNAcentral lists this long non-coding RNA (3957 nucleotides) under Xyrichtys novacula (pearly razorfish). Lineage: Eukaryota; Metazoa; Chordata; Actinopteri; Labriformes; Labridae. The record is from RNAcentral.